This 594-nucleotide long non-coding RNA is filed under the name Drosophila guanche. Lineage: Eukaryota; Metazoa; Arthropoda; Insecta; Diptera; Drosophilidae. The record is from RNAcentral.
GGCGAAAAUGUGCUGUAUCCACAAUUGAUAAUAUAAGAAAACUAAAAACGCCAUUCUGUAGGGAAGGACCAUAUCUUUCAGAUCAGAUUGGUAUCAGAUUGGGAUCAGAUUGAAUCUUUAUUAUAGUUAGAAUAAAGAAAUUUAUUUGCUGUGGCUAAACCCACCAUGUCCGGCACAUUCUCUUUCACUCUCUAGUCGAAGCUAAAAUGUGCCAAAACUAAAUAAAUCUUCUGGAAGGGGUUGGUGUAGGCACUGCAAGUUAUGAAAAUAAUAAUGAUACAAUCUAAUCCUAAUUCAAUGAUCUGAUAGAUAUGGUUAUUCCCUACGGAAUGGGAUUUAUAGGUUUCUCUAAACUUUUAAAUUGUGGAUUCAGCUUAUUUUAGGUAGGGGCGGGGAGAAAUUUUGAAAUACACUUGUAACAGAGUGAGCAUACCGAAGUCUGGAUGCAAAACUUGGUUGCCCUUUCUCUUAUGGACUCUGAGAACCAGGCGCUCAUAAGGAAGGACAGACGGAUGGACGGACAAACAGACAUACAUUGCUAAAUCGACUCGGCUAUUGAUGCUGAUCAAGAAUAUAUGUAUAUACUUUGAGGGG